AGCGGCAACAGCUCAAAUUUGAAAUCUGGCUUCGGCCCGAGUUGUAAUUUGCAGAGGAUGUUUCUGGCGCGGUGCCUUCCGAGUUCCCUGGAACGGGACGCCACAGAGGGUGAGAGCCCCGUAUGGUUGGACACCAAGCCUGUGUGAAACUCCUUCAACGAGUCGAGUAGUUUGGGAAUGCUGCUCUAAAUGGGAGGUAAAUCUCUUCUAAAGCUAAAUACCGGCCAGAGACCGAUAGCGCACAAGUAGAGUGAUCGAAAGAUGAAAAGCACCUUGAAAAGGGGGUUAAAUAGUACGUGAAAUUGUUGAAAGGGAAGCACUUAUGACCAGACUUGGGCCGGGCGGCUCAUCAGGGGUUCUCCCCUGUGCACUCCGCCCGGCACAGGCCAGCAUCGGUUCUCGUGGGGGGAUAAGACCGUCAGGAACGUAGCACCCUCCGGGGUGUGUUAUAGCCUGGCGGACGAUACCCCCGUGGGGACCGAGGUCCGCGCUCCGCAAGGAUGCUGGCGUAAUGGUCAUCAGUGACCCGUCUUGAAACACGGACCAAGGAGUCGUCCAUUAGAGCGAGCGUUUGGGUGUAAAACCCGCACGCGUAAUGAAAGUGAACGCAGGUGAGAGCUUCGGCGCAUCAUCGACCGAUCCUGAUGUUCUCGGAAGGAUUUGAGUAAGAGUUUUAACGGACGGACCCGAAAGACAGUGAACUAUGCUUGUAUAGGGUGAAGCCAGAGGAAACUCUGGUGGAGGCUCGCAGCGGUUCUGACCGUGCA
This 767-nucleotide ribosomal RNA is filed under the name Diaporthe inconspicua. Its description in RNAcentral is "LSU rRNA". It matches the Rfam family "Eukaryotic large subunit ribosomal RNA", at positions 97 to 895 of the family's 3401-position model. The record is from RNAcentral. Lineage: Eukaryota; Fungi; Ascomycota; Sordariomycetes; Diaporthales; Diaporthaceae.